GUGACUAUAGCUCAGUAGGUAGAGUCCUGGAUUGUGAUUCCAGUUGUCGUGGGUUCGAAUCCCACUAGUCACCCA
This 75-nucleotide transfer RNA is filed under the name Candidatus Pantoea edessiphila. RNAcentral's name for it is "Pantoea sp. SoEL tRNA-His". It matches the Rfam family "tRNA". From Rfam's summary of the family: Transfer RNA (tRNA) molecules are approximately 80 nucleotides in length. Lineage: Bacteria; Pseudomonadati; Pseudomonadota; Gammaproteobacteria; Enterobacterales; Erwiniaceae. The record is from RNAcentral.